CCUACGGGUGGCAGCAGUGAGGAAUAUUGGUCAAUGGGCGCAAGCCUGAACCAGCCAAGUCGCGUGAGGGAUGAAGGUUCUAUGGAUCGUAAACCUCUUUUAUAAGGGAAUAAAGUGUGGCACGUGUCCUAUUUUGUAUGUACCUUAUGAAUAAGGAUCGGCUAAUUCCGUGCCAGCAUCCGCGGUAUUACGUCGGAUCCGAGCGUUAUCCGGUUUUCUUGGGUUUAAGGGUGCGUCGGCGGUCUUUUAAGUCAGCUGUGAAAGUCUGGGGCUCAACCCUAGAAUUGCCGUUGAAACUGGGGGGCUUGAGUACGGUGGAGGCAGGCGGAAUGCGUGGUGUAGCGGUGAAAUGCGUAGAUAUCACGCAGAACCCCGAUUGCGAAGGCAGCCUGCCAAGCCAUGACUGACGCUGAUGCACGAAAGCGUGGGGAUCAAACAGGAUUAGAUACCCUGGUAGUC
RNAcentral lists this ribosomal RNA (459 nucleotides) under uncultured bacterium. Its description in RNAcentral is "partial 16S ribosomal RNA". It matches the Rfam family "Bacterial small subunit ribosomal RNA", at positions 338 to 795 of the family's 1533-position model. The record is from RNAcentral.